UUCUCUCUCCCCCUCCCUCCCCCUUCUCUCUCCCCCUCUCUCCCUUCUCUCUCCCCAACUCUCCCUCCUCUCUCCACCUCUCCCCUUCUCUCUCCGUCUCUUGCUCCAUCACUUCUACAACCGGUACUUCCAGUAGUGCCGCAUUGAGCUUCAAUGAACAUUUCCAGCUAUCAAAACCACCACCACUACCCCCUGGACCAGCCACGGACUACCCAGGUUUGAUGCCCCAAAGUCCGCCUCCACCUCAUCCACCACCCAUUGAGCCAGUGGAAGCAGUGGAGAGACACCAGUGCUCAACACCCUCUCCCCAGGUUUAGGUGACCCUAGCCAUGCUAGUGAUGGGAAUGGAGGGGCAUCUAUGAUGGAUGCCAGCAUCAUGACUUCCACAAGCUGUCUGUUCAAGCCAAGCCUACCACCACCACCACUUCCACCAAGGGGGGCCCUGUCGUCCGGCCUCUGCCCAUGCUCGGUGAGGGUUCCCAGGCACAGCUCCGGCCACCGAUGGCCUCCCCUUGAUGUCUCUCUCCAACCCCCUCUACAGAGAGUCUAUGAUGACUUCUCACAACUGUGCCAACACAGCCUCCUCCUCUUCCUCCUCUUCCUCCUCUUCCUCCUCCUUCGCUCCAGUCUUCCCUCCAUCCCUGCCCUGCGCUAACUGUGGCUACAUCCAGGGCUCUACAGCCCCCACUACCUCACGGCUGCCCCAAAGAGGACAGGCUAGUCCGGAGAGACUCUACUACCUCCAUCCCCUCUAUAUAUCCACAAAGAGAGAUCUAAAUUGACAAAUAAAGGUGGCCAACAGGGGGCAGCAGAGGCACACCAUUCCAUAACAACAGCUAUACUUGUAGGAGUGUUUACAUUUUGUGAUGUAACCCCAUAAUUAGGUUGGGGGUUUUUUCCCAAAUGGCACCCUACUCCCUAUAUAGUGCACUACUUCUAACCAGGAACCAUGGGGCUCUUGUCAAAGAUAGUACACUAUAUAGGGAAGGUUCUGACAUAUGUAAUAUUACUGCUACAGUAUAUUGGUGGGGCUUACUAUGUGGUUAUCUGGAUCUGUAGCCAGUGGGUGGGGUUUACUAUGUGGUUAUCUGGAUCUGUAGCCAGUGGGUGGGGCUUACUAUGUGGUUGUCUGGAUCUGUAGGCAGUGGGUGGGGCUUACUAUGUGGUUGUCUGGAUCUGUAGCCAGUGGGUGGGGCUUACUAUGUGGUUGUCUGGAUCUGUAGCCAGUGGGUGGGGCUUACUAUGUGGUUGUCUGGAUCUGUAGCCAGUGGGUGGGGCUUACUAUGUGGUUGUCUGUAUCUGUAGCCAGUGGGUGGGGCUUACUAUGUGGUUGUCUGGAUCUGUAGCCAGUGGGUGGGGCUUACUAUGUGGUUGUCUGGAUCUGUAGCCAGUGGGUGGGGCUUACUAUGUGGUUGUCUGGAUCUUGCAGGCAGUGGGUGGGGCUUACUAUGUGGUUGUCUGGAUUUGUAGCUAGUGGGUGGGGCUUACUAUGUGGUUGUCUGGAUCUGUAGCCAAUGGCUUGUUAUUGGCUACCCAUAUAUUAACAUCUCAUACAGUAAGGCAUAGCAAUAGUAGCAUAGGAAUCCUGUAUAUAUGAUGUAAUAACCUAAUAAUGAAUAUUAUAUUGUCCUGACUGUCCUGAUCAGGUCAGGUUACAGGAGACCACAACACUACAGAUUAUCUCUCAACCCCCAACAGAGGAGGAGAGAUCUAGGGGUCUGAAGAUGUGGGGGUUUUAUGACCCCUCACGCCCAUGAUAGUCUUAGGCCACAGAGAAAUUCCUUUGUCCUCUCACUGUGGAGAACCUGCCUCAGAACAUUAAACAUGCAAUAAAGGGACUUUGGAACAAUGGUUUCCGUCAGCCACAAGGGUGGUUAUGACGAUAGAUGGGAUAUGAAAAUGUGUGUAAUUUUUGUUUUGUUAUUAAAGGUUAAUAGAUGACGUU
Long non-coding RNA from Salmo salar (Atlantic salmon), 1945 nucleotides. RefSeq lists it as uncharacterized. Lineage: Eukaryota; Metazoa; Chordata; Actinopteri; Salmoniformes; Salmonidae. The record is from RefSeq and is a predicted model, not a curated record.